Molecule: microRNA precursor, 105 nt
Filed under: Olea europaea subsp. europaea
Lineage: Eukaryota; Viridiplantae; Streptophyta; Magnoliopsida; Lamiales; Oleaceae
Source: RNAcentral
AUGAAACCUAGAGUUCCCCCAAACACUUCAGUGUGCCGAUCGGUCCCUAAGCAAAAAAGGGACUCUUAUAAAUUCUGAAGUUAUUGAGGAAACUCCAGAUCAAAC